UUAAAUUUUAGAGACAAGAGAGACAUAAGCCUGAACAUAAACAUAAACAAGAAGAACAGAAAGACAACAUUUCAAUAGAAUUUUAUUCCCAUUUUACAUUUAUACUCGCUUUUAUACAUCAAUCUCAUCACCAAACCCUCCGGAAUAACCUACCUACCUUGCUUUAACAAAUUCUACAGCAAACCCUAAACAAGAGUACAUAUGCAAAUCAUGUGCACUAACAAAUAGAAAUGUACAGCAGGGAACCAGAAAUAAUCAUACAGAACGAGAUCUCCAUUAACGGAGCAUGCACAAAAGCCUUCUGAUCCAUCUCACAAUUCGAAAUCUUGACUUAUGAGAAACGGCAGGAGGCUUCUCUACUGGCGAUGGAGGUUGAAUUUGAGAAUAAGGCGCGGGAGUCUGGUACUGGACGGAUCCGGUGCUCCUGCUGCGGAAUAACACAGAAGAAGAUGUACGAUCCUCUGUUUUCGAGAAAGGAGAGGUCGUGGAAACCUCGUUCCAUACAAUUCCAGAUGAUCCUUGCCUUCUGAACGACACGUUGGACCUCGUCAGUGUUGCCGCCGCUGCCAUAUUCCGCACAAAGCUUUUCUUACAAGCAGACCUGCAAAUUCGAUCUUUCCUCUUUACAAGGGUUAAAGAAGAAGAAGACGGCAAUUAAUAACUUAAUUGUGUGAGGUUUUAUUGUGCGGAAAAUCUUUUUCGGCAGCGCGUGUAUGAAGACUCUGGAUUUUGACUCGUACGCCGGAUUUCUAUCCUGAAUUUUCAGGAUAACAUGACGUUUGCGCGAAGGAAGACAGUGCAGGUACUCAUCAUUCAUUGAUCAUUUUUUUAGGGUUUCUACAUACAGUAUUGCAAUUAUGACAGGAACUUUGAAAAUUACGUUUUGCUUUGUUUUACAUGCUCAUCAAGCACACGGAUUUAUCAUUGGGAUGAACAUACAAUGAGACAAUGAUGGCCUUGUCUAACCUGAAAAUUGGGGAAUUUGUGUCGUCAAGAUCACGAAGAUGGAGUGCUCUUUUGUGUGGAGAUUAGCUGCUAUAUUGAUAUUCUUUACUCUCGGUUUUAUUGUAAUUGAUGUAAAUAAGAAUGUAUAUUGACUAUAAUGUGUUAGUUCUUUAUGUUCUUAUGUCUCUAUUUAAUAGUAAUUGAUGAAAACAAGAAUUAAAGUCAAUUGGACAAUCA
This is a long non-coding RNA of Cryptomeria japonica (Japanese cedar), 1182 nucleotides long. RefSeq lists it as uncharacterized. The record is from RefSeq and is a predicted model, not a curated record. Lineage: Eukaryota; Viridiplantae; Streptophyta; Pinopsida; Cupressales; Cupressaceae. The transcript is spliced from 2 exons.